AUUGAACGCUGGCGGCAUGCUUUACACAUGCAAGUCGAACGGCAGCGCGGGCUUCGGCCUGGCGGCGAGUGGCGAACGGGUGAGUAAUGCAUCGGAACGUGCCCAGUAGUGGGGGAUAGCCCGGCGAAAGCCGGAUUAAUACCGCAUACGACCUGAGGGUGAAAGCGGGGGACCGAAAGGCCUCGCGCUAUUGGAGCGGCCGAUGUCGGAUUAGCUAGUUCGUGGGGUAAAGGCUUACCAAGGCGACGAUCCGUAGCUGGUCUGAGAGGACGACCAGCCACACUGGGACUGAGACACGGCCCAGACUCCUACGGGAGGCAGCAGUGGGGAAUUUUGGACAAUGGGGGCAACCCUGAUCCAGCCAUGCCGCGUGCGGGAAGAAGGCCUUCGGGUUGUAAACCGCUUUUGUUCGGGAAGAAAUCCUCUGGGCUAAUACCCCGGGGGGAUGACGGUACCGGAAGAAUAAGCACCGGCUAACUACGUG
This 484-nucleotide ribosomal RNA is filed under the name uncultured bacterium. RNAcentral describes it as "partial 16S ribosomal RNA". It matches the Rfam family "Bacterial small subunit ribosomal RNA", at positions 28 to 507 of the family's 1533-position model. The record is from RNAcentral.